GAUGAACGCUAGCUACAGGCUUAACACAUGCAAGUCGAGGGGUCUUUUUUUAGCUUGCUUUAAAAGACGACCGGCGCACGGGUGAGUAACGCGUAUCCAACCUGCCCUUCAUAUUGGUAUAGCCUCCCGAAAGGGAGAUUAAUCCCGAAUAACAUGAGAAAGUUGCCUGAUUCUCUCAUGAAAGCUCCGGCGAUGAAGGAUGGGGAUGCGUUCCAUUAGGUAGUAGGCGGGGUAACGGCCCACCUAGCCUACGAUGGAUAGGGGUUCUGAGAGGAAGGUCCCCCACACUGGAACUGAGACACGGUUCAG
This 309-nucleotide ribosomal RNA is filed under the name uncultured bacterium. RNAcentral describes it as "bacterial SSU rRNA". It matches the Rfam family "Bacterial small subunit ribosomal RNA", at positions 28 to 334 of the family's 1533-position model. The record is from RNAcentral.